RNAcentral lists this ribosomal RNA (236 nucleotides) under uncultured bacterium. RNAcentral describes it as "partial 16S ribosomal RNA". It matches the Rfam family "Bacterial small subunit ribosomal RNA", at positions 524 to 759 of the family's 1533-position model. The record is from RNAcentral.
UACGUAGGGUGCAAGCGUUAAUCGGAAUUACUGGGCGUAAAGCGUGCGCAGGCGGUGAUGUAAGACAGGUGUGAAAUCCCCGGGCUUAACCUGGGAACUGCAUUUGUGACUGCAUCGCUGGAGUGCGGCAGAGGGGGAUGGAAUUCCGCGUGUAGCAGUGAAAUGCGUAGAUAUGCGGAGGAACACCGAUGGCGAAGGCAAUCCCCUGGGCCUGCACUGACGCUCAUGCACGAAAG